GGGUAGAGCACUGUUUCGGCUAGGGGGCCAUCCCGGCUUACCAACCCGAUGCAAACUGCGAAUACCGGAGAAUGUUAUCACGGGAGACACACGGCGGGUGCUAACGUCCGUCGUGAAGAGGGAAACAACCCAGACCGCCAGCUAAGGUCCCAAAGUCAUGGUUAAGUGGGAAACGAUGUGGGAAGGCCCAGACAGCCAGGAUGUUGGCUUAGAAGCAGCCAUCAUUUAAAGAAAGCGUAAUAGCUCACUGGUCGAGUCGGCCUGCGCGGAAGAUGUAACGGGGCUAAACCAUGCACCGAAGCUGCGGCAGCGAUAUGAAAAUAUUGUUGGGUAGGGGAGCGUUCUGUAAGCCUGCGAAGGUGGCCUGUGAGGGUUGCUGGAGGUAUCAGAAGUGCGAAUGCUGACAUAAGUAACGAUAAAGCGGGUGAAAAGCCCGCUCGCCGGAAGACCAAGGGUUCCUGUCCAACGUUAAUCGGGGCAGGGUGAGUCGACCCCUAAGGCGAGGCCGAAAGGCGUAGUCGAUGGGAAACGGGUUAAUAUUCCCGUACUUGGUGUUACUGCGAAGGGGGGACGGAGAAGGCUAUGUUGGCCGGGCGACGGUUGUCC
RNAcentral lists this ribosomal RNA (606 nucleotides) under Salmonella enterica subsp. salamae. RNAcentral describes it as "partial 23S ribosomal RNA". It matches the Rfam family "Bacterial large subunit ribosomal RNA", at positions 900 to 1507 of the family's 2925-position model. The record is from RNAcentral. Lineage: Bacteria; Pseudomonadati; Pseudomonadota; Gammaproteobacteria; Enterobacterales; Enterobacteriaceae.